CCGAAUGGGGAAACCCAGUGUGAUUCGUCACACUAUCAUUAACUGAAUCCAUAGGUUAAUGAGGCGAACCGGGGGAACUGAAACAUCUAAGUACCCCGAGGAAAAGAAAUCAACCGAGAUUCCCCCAGUAGCGGCGAGCGAACGGGGAGGAGCCCAGAGCCUGAAUCAGCAUGUGUGUUAGUGGAAGCGUCUGGAAAGGCGCGCGAUACAGGGUGACAGCCCCGUACACAAAAGCGCAUGUGCUGUGAGCUCGAUGAGUAGGGCGGGACACGUGGUAUCCUGUCUGAAUAUGGGGGGACCAUCCUCCAAGGCUAAAUACUCCUGACUGACCGAUAGUGAACCAGUACCGUGAGGGAAAGGCGAAAAGAACCCCGGCGAGGGGAGUGAAAAAGAACCUGAAACCGUGUACGUACAAGCAGUGGGAGCACAGGUUUACCUGUGUGACUGCGUACCUUUUGUAUAAUGGGUCAGCGACUUAUAUUCUGUAGCAAGGUUAACCGUAUAGGGGAGCCGGAGGGAA
This 520-nucleotide ribosomal RNA is filed under the name Salmonella enterica subsp. enterica serovar Typhimurium. RNAcentral describes it as "bacterial LSU rRNA". It matches the Rfam family "Bacterial large subunit ribosomal RNA", at positions 114 to 675 of the family's 2925-position model. The record is from RNAcentral. Lineage: Bacteria; Pseudomonadati; Pseudomonadota; Gammaproteobacteria; Enterobacterales; Enterobacteriaceae.